AACCAACAGGGAUUGCCCUAGUAACGGCGAGUGAAGCGGCAACAGCUCAAAUUUGAAAUCUGGCUCUUUCAGAGUCCGAGUUGUAAUUUGCAGAGGGCGCUUUGGCUUUGGCAGCGGUCCAAGUUCCUUGGAACAGGACGUCACAGAGGGUGAGAAUCCCGUACGUGGUCGCUGGCUAUUGCCGUGUAAAGCCCCUUCGACGAGUCGAGUUGUUUGGGAAUGCAGCUCUAAAUGGGAGGUACAUUUCUUCUAAAGCUAAAUAUUGGCCAGAGACCGAUAGCGCACAAGUAGAGUGAUCGAAAGAUGAAAAGCACUUUGGAAAGAGAGUCAAACAGCACGUGAAAUUGUUGAAAGGGAAGCGCUUGCAGCCAGACUUGCUUGCAGUUGCUCAUCCGGGCUUUUGCCCGGUGCACUCUUCUGCAGGCAGGCCAGCAUCAGUUUGGGCGGUAGGAUAAAGGUCUCUGUCACGUACCUCUCUUCGGGGAGGCCUUAUAGGGGAGGCGACAUACUACCAGCCUGGACUGAGGUCCGCGCAUCU
This 538-nucleotide ribosomal RNA is filed under the name Alternaria sp. RNAcentral's name for it is "partial large subunit ribosomal RNA". It matches the Rfam family "Eukaryotic large subunit ribosomal RNA", at positions 63 to 604 of the family's 3401-position model. The record is from RNAcentral. Lineage: Eukaryota; Fungi; Ascomycota; Dothideomycetes; Pleosporales; Pleosporaceae.